CCUACGGGCGGCAGCAGUCGAGAAUCAUUCACAAUGGGGGAAACCCUGAUGGUGCGACGCCGCGUGGGGGAAUGAAGGUCUUCGGAUUGUAAACCCCUGUCAUGUGGGAGAAAAUUAAAAAGAUAGUACCACAAGAGGAAGAGACGGCUAACUCUGUGCCAGCAGCCGCGGUAAUACAGAGGUCUCAAGCGUUGUUCGGAAUCACUGGGCGUAAAGCGUGCGUAGGCGGUUUCGUAAGUAGUGUGUGAAAGGUGCGGGCUCAACCGGCGGAAGGAAGAUGAUACUGCGAGACUAGAGUAAUGGAGGGGAAACCGGAAUUCUCGGUGUAGCAGUGAAAUGCGUAGAUAUCGAGAGGAACACUCGUGGCGAAGGCGGGUUCCUGGACAUUAACUGACGCUGAGGCACGAAGGCCAGGGGAGCGAAAGGGAUUAGAUACCCGUGUAGUC
RNAcentral lists this ribosomal RNA (446 nucleotides) under uncultured bacterium. Its description in RNAcentral is "partial 16S ribosomal RNA". It matches the Rfam family "Bacterial small subunit ribosomal RNA", at positions 338 to 795 of the family's 1533-position model. The record is from RNAcentral.